Long non-coding RNA from Sinocyclocheilus rhinocerous, 388 nucleotides. RefSeq lists it as uncharacterized. The transcript is spliced from 4 exons. The record is from RefSeq and is a predicted model, not a curated record. Lineage: Eukaryota; Metazoa; Chordata; Actinopteri; Cypriniformes; Cyprinidae.
GUGAAUUGAGUAAACCAAGUGCACUUAAACAAACAUAAAGACUUAAACAAAACAAAAAACAAUCACCGGACGUAAUGGUAAUGUAUUUAUUGUAUAUGGUCUAAUUGUAUAUUGUCUAUAAUUAACAGGGCGCCCCUCUUCAGCUAGGAGGAAUUGAUUGCGGGGUAUUCAUGUUGAUGUAUGCACUCCAUGUUACGCUCUCAAAGCCAUUUGAUUUUGCUGCGUCUGACAUGCCUAUAAUCAGGAAGUGGUGGUGCUAUCAGUUAAUUCAGACAUUUCCUCUGACAAGUCAAGUCCAACAACUAGUCACCCAGGAACAAGAACUACCAAAUCCAGAAGACAUGGAAGUCACUCCACCUGAGUCAGAAAUCAUGGAGAUCACCCCAAC